Molecule: ribosomal RNA, 425 nt
Filed under: uncultured bacterium
Lineage: Bacteria
Description: bacterial SSU rRNA
Rfam family: Bacterial small subunit ribosomal RNA
Source: RNAcentral
GGGAGGCAGCAGUGAGGAAUAUUGGUCAAUGGACGAGAGUCUGAACCAGCCAAGUAGCGUGAAGGAUGACUGCCUAUGGGUUGUAAACUUCUUUUAUACGGGAAUAAGUGAGCCACGUGUGGCUUUUUGUAUGUACCGUAUGAAUAAGGAUCGGCUAACUCCGUGCCAGCAGCCGCGGUAAUACGGAGGAUCCGAGCGUUAUCCGGAUUUAUUGGGUUUAAAGGGAGCGUAGAUGGAUGUUUAAGUCAGUUGUGAAAGUUUGCGGCUCAACCGUAAAAUUGCAGUUGAUACUGGAUAUCUUGAGUGCAGUUGAGGCAGGCGGAAUUCGUGGUGUAGCGGUGAAAUGCUUAGAUAUCACGAAGAACUCCGAUUGCGAAGGCAGCCUGCUAAGCUGCAACUGACAUUGAGGCUCGAAAGUGUGGGUA